Non-coding RNA from Plectropomus leopardus (leopard coralgrouper), 1079 nucleotides. The record is from RefSeq and is a predicted model, not a curated record. NCBI's taxonomy places the organism in Eukaryota, Metazoa, Chordata, Actinopteri, Perciformes, Serranidae.
CAGUCUUUGAGCUUUAGAGACCUCUGCUGGUCAGCAGGAGUGAUUGCAAAAGAAAAAAAACACCUCAGGCAUUAAGAGCACAGUGUUUUGGAUCAGAAAAGUAGGAUUCAUUUCAUGACAAAGGCCAUCGUGUGUCGUGCCCAGUAACUCUCAGUAGGCUUCUCUCAGUAGUUUUGAAGAAUUGAAAAAUAACCUCCCUAAAUCCCACCUCAAAAUCCAACUGGAAUUUUACUAUAAGGUUAUUUUGUGCAACAUGGCAAUAAUAAGAAUUUGUCCUGUCAGCUGAACAUGGGUCCAGUGUCCGACACCACAUCAGCUGCAGCACAGAGACAACCAGCAGAACAGCAGGAUGAACUUCAAUACGCCAGAAUCAGCUUCGCUCAGAGACAGGAGGACGCUCUCUACUCCAACAUCAGGCCAGCGCAGACACAGAGACACACUGAGGAUGAGGACGAUGAGGACGAUCAAGCCUGACAGCAGUGCCUCAGGAGCAAGACGUCAAGAAAAUGGGGAGGAUUUAUUUGCUCUCUACAGCACAGUCACCAAAUGAACACAACAUGAAUGUUUAUUCCGUUAUUCCUAUGUUUUUUUGUGCACCUUAAUUCAAGAGUCAGACACAAUGAAGCUACAGAUACUGUGAACUCCUCAGGACAGAUAUUUAUUUGUUUGCUUGAAAACCUAGAUCAACAUCUCUUUCCAUGUGCUUCAUUCAGAUGCCCUCACAAGUAUUUAAACCUUCAAAAUCUGAGAUAAUUGGUUUGCUUUCUUUUGAAACAUGGACAAAAAAAAGGCAGAUUUCUUGUAAAUGGUAAGAAAGUACUAGAUUUGACUAGAUUAGAUUUACAGAAUUAUUAUUAUUUUUUAACAAUUUUAAAGUCUUUUCUUUUUUUCUUUGUAUUUUUUGUAACUUUUUGAUGGCAAAUUUUAAGUUAGUCGUUGUCUUACUCUUAUUAUUUUUAUUGUUGUAGUUGUUGCUCACUUUUGUAAUGCAUUUUAAGUGGACUUUUUCUGCUUGUGUUUAUUGUAACAAUUUCAAGGAGACUUUUACUCGGUUAAAUAAAGUAUGUGUAUAAAGGACA